RNAcentral lists this ribosomal RNA (1252 nucleotides) under Adaiphrotermes sp. CIVT232. RNAcentral's name for it is "16S ribosomal RNA". The stretch from base 1016 to 1176 matches the Rfam family "Bacterial large subunit ribosomal RNA", at positions 2473 to 2632 of the family's 2925-position model. Lineage: Eukaryota; Metazoa; Arthropoda; Insecta; Blattodea; Termitidae. The record is from RNAcentral.
AAGAAUCAUUUUCGUUUUUGUAUACUUGUGAUUUAAUUUUUUGUACUAUAGAUUAUUUGUACCGUAAGGGUUUGAUUUUUAAUGUUUUUUAAGAAGUUGAUUUUGUUUAUUGUACCUUGUGUAUCAGGGUUCAUUAAAUUUUAUUAUUUAUUUUUAUUUCCCGAUUUUAAAGGAGUUAAUGGUUUAUUUUAGUUAUUGUUUCAUUAUUAUUAAUAAUAGGCUAUUGGUAGUGAAAUGUUAUUCGUCUUUAGUGGUUUCUGGUUUUUCAAGAAAUGAAUUCAAUUCAUUCCUCUUAUUUAAUUUUUAUUUUUACUUUACUUAUUUUUAUUUGAGGGUAAGAUUAAGGGGGAUUAGCUCCUUAUUUAAUUUUUAUAAUUUUUUAUGAAACUUAGUUUUGUGGAUUUUAUGGUGAUUUUCAAUUUGAUUAUGUUAAAAUUUUAUUUAAUUUUUUCUUUAUUUAGUUUUUGUGAUUUAAUUUGUUUAUUGAAGUGUUUUCUUUAUUUUUGUCUGGAUGGUAAUUAUUGUGUAAUUAGUAAAUUUUGCUUUAUUCUGUUUAUUUGUGUGUUAAAUUCUUUUGAGGAAUUCGGCAAAUUUUUCAUGUCCGCCUGUUUAACAAAAACAUCUUUUCUUGUUAGUUUUUGAAGUAUGGCCUGCCCACUGACUUUGUGUUGAAGGGCCGCGGUAUUUUGACCGUGCAAAGGUAGCAUAAUCAUUAGUUCUUUAAUUGUGAUCUGGUAUGAAUGGCUUGACGAGACAUGAGCUGUCUUAAAUUGUGAAUAAUUGGUUGAAUUUGGUCUUUGAGUUAAAAUUCUUAAAUGUUUUUAUGGGACGAGAAGACCCUAUAGAGUUUGACAUUUGAUUUAUUUAUUGUUGUUUUGUUUGUCUUUAUUAUUGAGUAAUUACAAGUGUUUUGUUGGGGUGAUGGGAGGAAUUUAUUUAACUCCUCUUUAUUUUGAAUAUUUAUUUAUAAAUUUUUGAUCCAUUUAUUUUGAUUAUAAGAUUAAAUUACCUUAGGGAUAACAGCGUUAUCUUCCUUGAGAGUUCUUAUUGGCGGGAAGGUUUGCGACCUCGAUGUUGGAUUAAGGUUUAUUUUCGGUGUAGGAGCUGAAAGUGAUUGGGUCUGUUCGACCUUUAAAAUCUUACAUGAUCUGAGUUCAGACCGGCGUGAGCCAGGUUGGUUUCUAUCUAUAAUAUUUAUUAUACCUUAGUACGAGAGGACCGGGUAUUUGGAAUAAUUUUAUUUCGUAUGAUU